Molecule: ribosomal RNA, 300 nt
Filed under: uncultured bacterium
Lineage: Bacteria
Description: bacterial SSU rRNA
Rfam family: Bacterial small subunit ribosomal RNA
Source: RNAcentral
AGUCCUAUAACGAGCGCAACCCCUGUUGUUAGUUGCCAGCGAGUAAUGUCGGGAACUCUAGCAAGACUGCCGGUGCAAACCGUGAGGAAGGUGGGGAUGACGUCAAAUCAUCACGGCCCUUACGUCCUGGGCCACACACGUGCUACAAUGGUAGGUACAGAGAGCAGCCACGUCGCAAGGCGGAGCGAAUCUAUAAAACCUAUCACAGUUCGGAUCGGGGUCUGCAACUCGACCCCGUGAAGCUGGAAUCGCUAGUAAUCGCAUAUCAGCCAUGAUGCGGUGAAUACGUUCCCGGGCCUU